This 2191-nucleotide ribosomal RNA is filed under the name Hordeum vulgare subsp. vulgare (domesticated barley). RNAcentral describes it as "bacterial LSU rRNA". It matches the Rfam family "Bacterial large subunit ribosomal RNA", at positions 14 to 2021 of the family's 2925-position model. Lineage: Eukaryota; Viridiplantae; Streptophyta; Magnoliopsida; Poales; Poaceae. The record is from RNAcentral.
AGGGCACAUGGUGGAUGUCUAGGCAUCAGGAGCCGAUGAAGGACGUGGGAGGCCGCGAUAGGCCUCGGGGAGCUGUCAACCGAGCUGUGAUCCGAGGGUGUCCGAAUGGGGAAACCCAGCACCCGUCAUGGGGUGUUACCAGCAUCUGAAUUCAUAGGGUGUUGGGGGGAACGUGGGGAAGUGAAACAUCUCAGUACCCACUGGAAGAGAAAACAACCGUGAUUCCGUGAGUAGUGGCGAGCGAAAGCGGAUGAGGCUAAACCGUGUUCGUGUGAUACCCGGCAGGGGUUGCGGGUGCGGUGUUGUGGGGUUUGGUCGUUUCAGUUCUGCCGGACUGGGGAUGGCAUGUGCGUGGUGUUAGUGGAAGACUUCUGGAAAGGGUCGCCGUAGUGGGUGAGAGCCCCGUACGCGAAAACACUGCGUGUGUCAUGGAUCGGAUACCCGAGUAGCAGCGAGCUCGUGGAAUUUGCUGUGAAUCUGCCGGGACCACCCGGUAAGCCUAAAUACUCCCUGGUGACCGAUAGCGGACUAGUACCGUGAGGGAAAGAUGAAAAGUACCCCGGGAGGGGAGUGAAAUAGUACCUGAAACCGUGUGCCUACAAGCCGUCAGAGCCUGACUUGUCGGGUGAUGGCGUGCCUUUUGAAGAAUGAGCCUGCGAGUUAUGCUUCGUGGCGAGGUUAACCCGGGUGGGGUAGCCGUAGCGAAAGCGAGUCCGAACAGGGCGUAGCUGUCUUUUUGGAGAUGGUGGAGUCGCGGGGUGUAGACCCGAAGCGGAGUGAUCUACCCAUGGCCAGGUUGAAGCGCGUGUAAGAGCGCGUGGAGGACCGAACCCACUUCAGUUGAAAAUGGAGGGGAUGAGCUGUGGGUAGGGGUGAAAGGCCAAUCAAACUCCGUGAUAGCUGGUUCUCCCCGAAAUGCAUUUAGGUGCAGCGUCGUGUGUUGCUUGCUGGAGGUAGAGCUACUGGAUGGCUGAUGGGCCCUACAAGGUUACUGACGUCAACCAAACUCCGAAUGCCAGUCAAGUGUAAGCGCGGCAGUGAGACUGUGGGGGAUAAGCUUCAUAGUCGAAAGGGAAACAGCCCAGACCAUCAACUAAGGCCCCUAAGCGUGUGCUAAGUGGGAAAGGAUGUGGAGUUGCAUAGACAACCAGGAGGUUGGCUUAGAAGCAGCCAUCCUUGAAAGAGUGCGUAAUAGCUCACUGGUCAAGUGAUUCCGCGCCGAUAAUGUAGCGGGGCUUAAGUUAUCCGCCGAAGCUGUGGCAACCUGUGUGGUUGGGUAGGGGAGCGUCGUGUCAGUGGUGAAGCUGCCGGGUGACUGUGUGGUGGAGUUGAUGCGAGUGAGAAUGCAGGCAUGAGUAGCGAAUGACGGGUGAGAAACCCGUCCGCCGAAUAUCCAAGGGUUCCAGGGUCAAGCUAAUCUGCCCUGGGUAAGUCGGGACCUAAGGCGAGGCCGACAGGCGUAGUCGAUGGACAACGGGUUGAUAUUCCCGUACCGGCGAAGAACCGCCCAAGUCAUCCAGUAAUGCUAAGCACCUGAAUACCACGGGUUCUCCUUCGGGAGUCUCCGUGGGGCUAGCGUGCGACCCUAUGCUGGUGCGGCUAACGUAUUAACAGGUGUGACGCAGGAAGGUAGCCUCCGCGGGGCGAUGGUUGUCCCCGUCUAAGGAUGUAGGGCGAACGAUAGGCAAAUCCGUCGUUCACAUGCCUGAGAUCUGAUGGUGAGUCCGUAUGGACGAAGAGGGUGAUCCUAUGCUGCCGAGAAAAGCAUCGACGUGAGGUUCUAGCCGCCCGUACCCUAAACCGACUCAGGUGGUCAGGUAGAGAAUACCAAGGAGAUCGAGAGAAUCGUGGUUAAGGAACUCGGCAAAAUGCCCCCGUAACUUCGGGAGAAGGGGGGCCUGAGGCGUGAAGAGAUUUACUCUCCGAGCGUUUGAAGGCCGCAGAGACCAGUGGGAAGCGACUGUUUACUAAAAACACAGGUCCGUGCGAAGUCGUAAGACGAUGUAUACGGACUGACGCCUGCCCGGUGCUGGAAGGUUAAGAGGACCGGUCAGCCCUCCUUGUGGGGGUGAAGCUGAGAAUUUAAGCCCCAGUAAACGGCGGUGGUAACUAUAACCAUCCUAAGGUAGCGAAAUUCCUUGUCGGGUAAGUUCCGACCUGCACGAAUGGAGUAACGACUUCCCUACUGUCU